Molecule: ribosomal RNA, 639 nt
Filed under: Triticum aestivum (bread wheat)
Lineage: Eukaryota; Viridiplantae; Streptophyta; Magnoliopsida; Poales; Poaceae
Description: partial small subunit ribosomal RNA
Source: RNAcentral
AUGAAAACACAAGCAAGCCCGGGCCCCGAUGGUUUUGGCCCGUCCUUCUAUAAAACAUUCUGGCCCUCUAUCAAACAGGAAAGUUUCUCCUUCUUCACACAGUUCCACCAGGGUGUAGCAGAUACAGAGCGUUUAAACCGUGCCCACAUUGCCCUCCUCCCAAAAUCUACCUCUGCAACCUCACCUGACGCCUUUAGGCCCAUAUCCUUGCAAAACUGCCCGGUCAAAGCCAUUGCCAAGGUUCUCACCUCGCGACUUCAACCCUUCAUCCCACUUAUAGUACAUGGUAAUCAAACUGGAUUCAUUCCUGGGAGGAACAUUGUCGAAAACUAUGUCUUUGCAGCAGAUCUUGUGAGCUCUUGCCACUCUCGCAAACGCCCCACCAUGAUCUUCAAACUUGACUUCAGGAAAGCCUUCGACUCGGUUUCCUGGAACGCCCUCGACAAAAUCCUGGCUGUGCAUGGCUUCUCUCAAACUUUUCAUAAUUGGAUUCAGAAUAUGCUCAACACUGGCAAGACUGCCAUCCUCCUAAACGGUAUCCCAGGUCGAUGGAUUCCAUGUAAGAAUGGACUGUGCCAGGGAGACCCGGCCUCCCCCUACCUUUUCUUAAUUGUUGCUGAUCUACUCCAACAACUUAUC